Molecule: RNase P RNA, 379 nt
Filed under: Gracilariopsis longissima
Lineage: Eukaryota; Rhodophyta; Florideophyceae; Gracilariales; Gracilariaceae
Description: ribonuclease P RNA
Rfam family: Bacterial RNase P class A (bases 2-188)
Source: RNAcentral
GAGGAAAGUCCGGGCUCUAAUUAGAAAAAUAUAGCUGUAUAAAAAACGGUAUAGGUAACUAUGAGGAAAGUGCCACAGAAAAAAACCGCCUAAUUGCAAAAUAAUAUAGGUAAGGGUGCAAAGGUGCGGUAAAAGCGUACCAGAAGUAUUAUAGUCAUAAUACUUGCUCGGUAAACCCCAUAAAAGAGCAAAGUAAUAAGCUUAAUUAUAUAUUAAUAUCUAUAACUAUAUAUUGCUUAAACUUAUAAUCAUUACUGCGAAAAAAUUAUAUGCAAGUAUAAAAUAUAGAUUAAUAACUACCCUUAAAAAAUUAAUUGUAAUCUCUAUUCUAUAGAUAGAGUAAAGAUUUAUCAAUUAUUAAGAACAAAACCCGGCUUAU